RNAcentral lists this ribosomal RNA (258 nucleotides) under uncultured bacterium. RNAcentral's name for it is "partial 16S ribosomal RNA". It matches the Rfam family "Bacterial small subunit ribosomal RNA", at positions 524 to 776 of the family's 1533-position model. The record is from RNAcentral.
UACGGGGGGGGCGAGCGUUGUUCGGAAUCACUGGGCGUAAAGGGCGCGUAGGCGGCCCGCACAAGUCUGCGGUGAAAACCCCCGGCUUAACCGGGGGCCGGCCGUGGGAAACUGUCGGGCUAGAGGCCGGGAGAGGGCAGCGGAAUUCCCGGUGUGAGCGGUGAAACUGCGCAGAGUAUCAGGAAGAACACCCGUGGCGAAGGCGGCUCUCUGGGACGGUACUGACGCUGAGACGCGAAAGCGUGGGGAGCGAUCCGG